RNAcentral lists this non-coding RNA (21 nucleotides) under Caenorhabditis elegans. The record is from RNAcentral. Lineage: Eukaryota; Metazoa; Nematoda; Chromadorea; Rhabditida; Rhabditidae.
UUACACGUUUUUGUCUUGCCU